UUGAAUUAUGUCCUAUAGACUUCAUGCCAAGGGCCUUACACUACUGCAGAACUAAUUGCUGCUCUCGGAGCGCCAGGGCGCGUGUGCGCGGUCUGAGCGCACGCAGCGCUGUCCAGCGCGGCCACACCGGCACGGCCGAAAGAACUGACGCACAGCACUAGACAACUAAAACACAGCAUUGAUAACUGCGUCCACUGGUCACCCGCCCCGAGGGCAAACCUGAAGCGUCAGGGACGCACGAACCACACCCUGGCCAGCGGGGCUGGCCAGGCGACAUUCCUAGCGCGCAACGAUACUCUAUAGGCACUUAUUUGCCGUGCGGUAAUCGCUGUACAGCUGUGCGUCUGGCGCUCCGAGGGGACUGCCUAAUCACCAGGUCUCCAACUGGGCCGAGCCUGCCGCCUAUAAACGAGGGACACUGAGGGCGGGGGGGGAAGUGAGAGCAACAAUAAUAAGCUCCAAUAGUGUAGGCAGAAUGCCGGAACUAUGGAGCUGUAAGCUGAAAUAGCAAAUUCGAAAUCUCAGCAAGCCAUACGGCUGCCGUACAUAACCUAGCUUAGAGGCUAUACUCGCUUUGCUCCUGCCGCAUCUAAGCUACAACACCUUCUAGGUGGGCAAGCCAACUUCUAGGUGGGCAAGUCAACGUGUCCAACAGGUAGCAGCUUCCUGUUGAGAUACUAUUUCGAAGCUCCUGCUCAGAGAGUAGGCGGGCCUAAGCGAGGUUAAGGUUUAUUUCCUGGUGUCCUCGGUAAUCGACAUAUGGAAAAGGUAGGCGCAUAAGCGGCAUUUUCUUUUAAUGUUUAGUGUUUAAUAUGUUUGUUUGUCGAUAAAAAGAGUAUACAAGCAAAAAGAGUAUACAUACCAACACUACUGUUAGGCAAAAAUUAACAGUUCGGCGGCCUUUGGCGGGCUUCGGCGGGCCAGGCAGCUACUAGGGUACUUCCCCGAAGGUACCGCCAUAUCUUUGUUUGCAGGUCUCCAUCAGGCUACCGAAACAUUGCAGUGCGUCCCGGCUAUCGGUCUGUCCCGCUCCUCUGAGCUGCUUUCCGAGCAAAGCGGCAACUGUGUCAGACAGCUAUUCAUUGGAGAGCUUGUGAUAUCGUGUAUCAUAGCAUGUUCCCUUAAUUGUAUUUAUGCAGGAUUCGUGAAAUGACAAGUCGGGUGUCGGCUUCCUCGAAGCCGGAAAAAAGGUAUCCGUACAGGCCGGUAGCUAGCGCGGCACGUGUGGCAAUUGAUGGGUAGUGUCAACGCGGUGGGAGAUGUGCUUUGUUGCAGCAGUGCUGAUGGUGUGGGAGCUAAGCUUGCACCAGCGGAAUUGUCAGCACCGCCUGCGGGCUCCACGCGAAUCGCAUCCAUCCCGGGUGCAUGCCGCAUGGACAGUGUGGCAGAC
RNAcentral lists this long non-coding RNA (1390 nucleotides) under Volvox carteri. RNAcentral describes it as "long non-coding RNA (VCAR_LNC001210)". Lineage: Eukaryota; Viridiplantae; Chlorophyta; Chlorophyceae; Chlamydomonadales; Volvocaceae. The record is from RNAcentral.